CGGACGGGUGAGUAAUGUCUGGGAAACUGCCUGAUGGAGGGGGAUAACUACUGGAAACGGUAGCUAAUACCGCAUAACGUCGCAAGACCAAAGAGGGGGACCUUCGGGCCUCUUGCCAUCGGAUGUGCCCAGAUGGGAUUAGCUAGUAGGUGGGGUAACGGCUCACCUAGACGACGAUCCCUAGCUGGUCUGAGAGGAUGACCAGCCACACUGGAACUGAGACACGGUCCAG
RNAcentral lists this ribosomal RNA (232 nucleotides) under uncultured bacterium. RNAcentral describes it as "partial 16S ribosomal RNA". It matches the Rfam family "Bacterial small subunit ribosomal RNA", at positions 99 to 334 of the family's 1533-position model. The record is from RNAcentral.